CUCCCAUGGGAGCAAGCUCUAAAGUCUGACCCAUGUCCCAAUUAAGUUUAUAGCAUCUCACAUCUGAGUCUACCUGAAUUGUGAAAAGAAAUGUACCUGCCAUGAGUCAUCGACUUUCUUCUUCCAGUUUUUCACCAGUAAGAAGCAUCUUAACAGAGAUGAUUGGAAUAACUGGUCCCAGUUCCGUCCUGGAUUGAAUUUGUGAACAUCCGUCUUAACAUGAUAUUAUAUCCCAAAGUUCUAAAUUUAUUACCCAAAACACUAGCAGUUCCUGAAUCAUCUGUUAUGUGACACAAGUUGUUACCCAUAAUAAGAUACUGAAGGUUAUGAAUGAAUUGCUUUCUAUUUUGUAAAUUAGGACAUAGUAUUUUAGUACACUAACAUUAUUUCUAUUCAUUUAAAUUCCAAUGUGUUUUCUUAAAUUGUAGGAAAAAAAUUAUGGUGUGAUAGCUAGUAAACCAGACAUCAUAUCUCACCUUCUCAACUGUAUCUUCUAAGGAAUGCUAUCAUUUGUGUUAUACGAUAUAUUAUCUCUAGGUUUGGUGUAUAUUUCUACUAAGUGAUCACGCCUACUUAUUUUCCCUUGGAAAAUGGAUCAAGGAGAUAAUUUAUUAACUGAUUUAAUAAAUUUCCCAACAUUUUGCAAAGUAUUAGCAGUGGAACAACUUGUUACUUGUGAGAUCAGAUGCCACUGCCAGUUAAGACUUUGCUUUGUUUAACAAAGCUGACUUUCUUCUUCUAAACUUGUAAAUAGGCAUAUAAAAUAAGCUUAAAUCCUGAAAUUUGAUGAGUCAUUAUUAUGAUAAAAUUUCAGAGUAAAAUUGCCAUGAAAAGUCGAAAAUCUUUCAAAGAAAGAGCAUUUUCUUUGAACAGUGUUUGUGAAAACUCUGAUUUUAUGUAUAGGUAUAUAUGUACACAAAAUCUUAGGUACAGAUUUUUUUGAGUGAAGUAUAAUUAAUUUAUACAAUACUGUGUUAGUUUCAAGCAUACAGCAAAGUGAUUUCAGAUGCUUUUCCAUUAUAGGUUAUUAAAAGAUAUUGGAUGUAGUUCCACAGAAUUUCUUCUAAUCAGACCUACUAACCUUUAACAAAUAAAAAUUGCACUUACUGAAAUCA
This 1115-nucleotide long non-coding RNA is filed under the name Bos indicus x Bos taurus (hybrid cattle). RNAcentral's name for it is "lncRNA (ENSBIXG00000015588.1)". Lineage: Eukaryota; Metazoa; Chordata; Mammalia; Artiodactyla; Bovidae. The record is from RNAcentral.